Molecule: long non-coding RNA, 382 nt
Organism: Chinchilla lanigera (long-tailed chinchilla)
Lineage: Eukaryota; Metazoa; Chordata; Mammalia; Rodentia; Chinchillidae
Exons: 2
Source: RefSeq, a predicted model, not a curated record
GUGGCGACGGCCCCACGGGAAGUCACAAGGUGGGCAGGGCUGGGAGCGAGCCUCAGAGCCCCAAGCGGAAACCCCUCAGAGGGGCAAGUCAUUUUGACUUUGGGGAGGAGCCAGAAGUCACAAGUGCCGGCUCCAGUGACUGCGGUGGACGAGGACCCAGCGUCGUGUGUUUAGAGCUGCCUGUCGGUUGGAUGGUGAGCGGCAGCAGCAGUCACUGUGUUUUUCAUCACAUCUCACAAAGACCUUCAGGAAAGAGCACUCCCAAGCUGCUGCAGAAAGCGGCCAGGAUGACGGGAUGAGUGUGUCUGAAGCCAGAGGAGGAUUUUGAGGAAAUUCAUGGCAGUGUAACUGUUACUGUAAUGAAUUUCUUUCUUUAAACAUU